CAGGAAUCCGUGUGAAGCGAAGUAGGAGUCUUGGCAGGGAGAGGGGCGGACGGGGAGGGCAUGUUAUGUCAGGCAAAUGGUCUACCUCAAUUCAAGCUUCUGCGUUCUAGAUUUAAUGUGCUCAACAUCGCAGAGUAUACUUAGUCUCUGACUGCAAGUAGAUGGAUGCUACAUUGUAUAAAAGCGAGGAAGUGGGGCUCCUCUCUUCGGAAUCAAUGUUAUCUUCUGGCCCCAGAACCUUCCCACGUUGGCUCACAGAGCGUCUGGCUUCUCAUCCUAACUCCAGGUCCAGCGCUCAUUCCCCACGCCCCACUUCA
RNAcentral lists this long non-coding RNA (317 nucleotides) under Equus caballus (horse). RNAcentral's name for it is "lncRNA (ENSECAG00000045915.1)". The record is from RNAcentral. Lineage: Eukaryota; Metazoa; Chordata; Mammalia; Perissodactyla; Equidae.